This is a long non-coding RNA of Bradysia coprophila, 646 nucleotides long. RefSeq lists it as uncharacterized. NCBI's taxonomy places the organism in Eukaryota, Metazoa, Arthropoda, Insecta, Diptera, Sciaridae. The record is from RefSeq and is a predicted model, not a curated record.
AAUGGAUACCGACAGUUGCAAUGAUUUUCCACUUUUCUAAUAAGAACGGGUCUUUGCUUUCGUUGGCAGAUGUAUUUAUAAUUUGACCACAAUUCUCGCGUAAAGUGGAGUGUUGAUUAGAUGGUCCCAUCAAUUUUACAGUUGAAGAUUCUCGCGUAUGUUCGUGAAAGAAGCUCUAAGAAUUAGCCGGUUUUCGGCCGUUCGCAAUCAGCUAAACAGAUGCGUAUGAACGUGUAUCCGAAUGAGCCCUAUAUACAGCCGGUGCCGGGUCGUUUGUAGUCCGAUAACAGAUGUGUUACGUGCAGCCCUCUUCAUAGGCUUAAAUGUGAAAAGAGCCCUAAGAAUGAGCCGGUUUAGGGUCGUCUAGAGUCAGCUAAACAGAUGUGUAUAGAUGUGUAAACAAAUAAAUCAAAUCUACAGCCAGUUUCUGAAAGGGUUCAGCUAUACAGAUGUUGGUGUCGGCACAAUUCUUCAAAAGAUCGAUUAGCAAUUCAUUUUUUAUUGAUUCAAUGUUUCUUACAAUUAUAUGAGGUAAUUGUUUUGUGUCCAUUCAUGUUAAUGUCAAGAUAUUCCGUGAAUAAAAAUUUAUCAAAUUUUACAAUGUAAACAUUCUCGCGUAAAUGUAGAGUGUUCAUUGCACACAUUU